Molecule: small RNA, 464 nt
Filed under: Pan troglodytes (chimpanzee)
Lineage: Eukaryota; Metazoa; Chordata; Mammalia; Primates; Hominidae
Description: processed transcript
Source: RNAcentral
CUCAAGUGUGCCCACUGCCUUGCCCCCCGGCCAUCAGAUCCCUUUGCUCGCUUCUGUCAAGAAUGUGGCUCUCCUGUCCCACCCAUAUUUGGCUGUCGUCUCCCACCCCCAGAAGGAGCUCAGAUGGGCUUGUGUGCAGAAUGCAGAAGCUUGGUACCCAUGAACACUCCCAUCUGCGUGGUGUGUGAGGCCCCUCUUGCUCUACAGCUGCAGCCACAGGCAAGCCUCCACUUGAAGGAGAAGGUAAUUUGCCGGGCCUGUGGUACAGGAAAUCCUGCUCACCUGAGAUACUGUGUCACCUGUGAGGGGGCCCUGCCUUCAUCACAAGAGCCCCGAUGUGCCUGGCAGUCCCUGAAUAUUCCUUUGCCCAGAUCUGAUGUUGGGACUAAGAGGGACAUAGGAACACAGACUGUUGGCCUCUUCUACCCAUCUGGCAAGCUGCUAGCAAAAAAGGAACAGGAAAU